Mastomys coucha (southern multimammate mouse) is the source of this 189-nucleotide long non-coding RNA. RefSeq lists it as uncharacterized. The transcript has 2 exons. The record is from RefSeq and is a predicted model, not a curated record. NCBI's taxonomy places the organism in Eukaryota, Metazoa, Chordata, Mammalia, Rodentia, Muridae.
UGCCACCAGGCCAUGCACGUAUCUAUGGACUGCCAGGAGGGCAGAGUAAGCUCACUCCAGUGGACCCUCCCUGGAUUCCCCAAGGACAAAGAAAUGGCUGCGUCUUGACGGUUGGGUUCUUAUGACUCCCACCUGUCUGUCUGGGCCACCUUUCGUUGUAUGGUCGAGGUGGUUCUUGAUUAGAAAUUC